UACAGGGGGGGCAAGCGUUGUUCGGAAUUACUGGGCGUAAAGGGCUCGUAGGUGGCCAACUAAGUCAGACGUGAAAUCCCUCAGCUUAACUGGGGAACUGCGUCUGAUACUGGAUGGCUUGAGUUUGGGAGAGGGAUGCGGAAUUCCAGGUGUAGCGGUGAAAUGCGUAGAUAUUCGGAGGAACACCAGUGGCGAAGGCGGCUCACUGGUCCAUUACUGACGCUGAGGUGCGAAAGCGUGGGGAGCAAACAGG
Molecule: ribosomal RNA, 253 nt
Filed under: uncultured bacterium
Lineage: Bacteria
Description: partial 16S ribosomal RNA
Rfam family: Bacterial small subunit ribosomal RNA
Source: RNAcentral